Molecule: long non-coding RNA, 840 nt
Organism: Cavia porcellus (domestic guinea pig)
Lineage: Eukaryota; Metazoa; Chordata; Mammalia; Rodentia; Caviidae
Exons: 3
Source: RefSeq, a predicted model, not a curated record
GCACCUGCGCACUGUGGCUGCCCGCAGCGAGGCUAUGCCUGCUGUGGACUGAGCACCUAGAUGUCGCGAACUCCUAACCUUUGACCUUGGCGAGAGGCUUUGCGGGCAAGACAAGCGCAGGGCCCGGGAGGUGCGGCGUUUGUCCCAGGCUAGCCUGCCCCACGGUGGGGCAGUGUCUUCUUAUGCCCAGUUGCAUAUGGCCCUCGGGCCAGGUCUCUGGAAGCGGAGAUUACCUGGCCUCGUCAGUGGGAAUGAGGGGAAGCCCUGGGCAGCCAUGUGCGGCUCCCUUCUUGAGGGGUCUGCAGCCUGCUCACCCACUUCAGUGCAUCCAGCCAGGUGCUGAGGGGAAGGCAGACCAAAGCCCUCACAGGAAAUGCCAACACUGCCAGAUUAACUGCUGACAGAAACUUGCUGCUGAAGACGACAGGGCUCAGAGCCCACAGCCCACUUUAAAGUGUCCUCCUCAGAGUCUCAAGUCCCACUAAAAAGUCUCAGCCCAGAAUCCUAUCAGAUGCCCCAGGCUGUGUGCAGCCUUCCUUCCUGUGGGAACCUUCCUUCUCUAGGCUCCUGCUCCCAGCUGUGACUGCCAGCUUCCUAUCCACUUUCUGUUGUAAACUAGCAAAAAGAGCUUCGUUAUAUUUGUAUUAUAUCAAAAUACCUGUAAUGUGACCUACUGUUCUAUAUGUGUGUUUCUUUUCCUCUGGGUGACCUAAUUGACAUGUUAAUCAAUGCUCUCCUCUGUAAAGAACUGUAAAACCUAACCUAAUUGAUAUGUUAACCAUUGUUGCCCUCUAUAAAUAACAGAUGUGGUGCUAAAAUAAACUAACGGGUUGUUAAUUA